This 1567-nucleotide ribosomal RNA is filed under the name uncultured bacterium. Its description in RNAcentral is "bacterial SSU rRNA". It matches the Rfam family "Bacterial small subunit ribosomal RNA". The record is from RNAcentral.
GCAUGCCUUCACAUGCAAGCUCGAACGGCAGCACAGACUUCGGUCUGGUGGCGAGUGGCGAACGGGUGAGUAAUGUAUCGGAACGUACCUUUCAGUGGGGGAUAACGUAGCGAAAGUUACGCUAAUACCGCAUAUUCUGUGAGCAGGAAAGCAGGGGAUCGCAAGACCUUGCGCUGAUUGAGCGGCCGAUAUCAGAUUAGCUAGUUGGUGGGGUAAAGGCCUACCAAGGCUACGAUCUGUAGCGGGUCUGAGAGGAUGAUCCGCCACACUGGAACUGAGACACGGUCCAGACUCCUACGGGAGGCAGCAGUGGGGAAUUUUGGACAAUGGGGGCAACCCUGAUCCAGCCAUGCCGCGUGAGUGAAGAAGGCCUUCGGGUUGUAAAGCUCUUUCGGCCGGGAAGAAAUCGCAUAGGCUAAUACCCUGUGUGGAUGACGGUACCGGAAUAAGAAGCACCGGCUAACUACGUGCCAGCAGCCGCGGUAAUACGUAGGGUGCGAGCGUUAAUCGGAAUUACUGGGCGUAAAGCGUGCGCAGGCGGUUUAGUAAGACAGGCGUGAAAUCCCCGGGCUCAACCUGGGAACUGCGCUUGUGACUGCUAAGCUAGAGUACGGCAGAGGCAGGCGGUUUAGUAAGACAGGCGUGAAAUCCCCGGGCUCAACCUGGGAACUGCGCUUGUGACUGCUAAGCUAGAGUACGGCAGAGGGGGGUGGAAUUCCACGUGUAGCAGUGAAAUGCGUAGAGAUGUGGAGGAACACCGAUGGCGAAGGCAGCCCCCUGGGCCGAUACUGACGCUCAUGCACGAAAGCGUGGGUAGCAAACAGGAUUAGAUACCCUGGUAGUCCACGCCCUAAACGAUGUCAACUAGGUGUUGGGAGGGUAAAACCUUUUAGUACCGGAGCUAACGCGUGAAGUUGACCGCCUGGGGAGUACGGCCGCAAGGUUAAAACUCAAAGGAAUUGACGGGGACCCGCACAAGCGGUGGAUGAUGUGGAUUAAUUCGAUGCAACGCGAAAAACCUUACCUACCCUUGACAUGUCCAGAAGCUCUUAGAGAUCUACCCUUGACAUGUCCAGAAGCUCUUAGAGAUUUGAGUGUGCCCGAAAGGGAGCUGGAACACAGGUGCUGCAUGGCUGUCGUCAGCUCGUGUCGUGAGAUGUUGGGUUAAGUCCCGCAACGAGCGCAACCCUUGUCGUUAAUUGCCAUCAUUUAGUUGGGCACUUUAACGAGACUGCCGGUGACAAACCGGAGGAAGGUGGGGAUGACGUCAAGUCCUCAUGGCCCUUAUGGGUAGGGCUUCACACGUCAUACAAUGGUCGGUACAGAGGGUUGCCAAGCCGCGAGGUGGAGCCAAUCCCAGAAAGCCGAUCGUAGUCCGGAUUGCAGGCUGCAACUCGCCUGCAUGAAGUCGGAAUCGCUAGUAAUCGCGGAUCAGCAUGUCGCGGUGAAUACGUUCCCGGGUCUUGUACACACCGCCCGUCACACCAUGGGAGCGGGUUCCGCCAGAAGUAGGUAGCCUAACCGCAAGGGGGGCGCUUACCACGGCGGGGUUCGUGACUGGGGUGAU